RNAcentral lists this ribosomal RNA (81 nucleotides) under Mycobacterium simiae. RNAcentral's name for it is "partial 23S ribosomal RNA". It matches the Rfam family "Bacterial large subunit ribosomal RNA", at positions 1 to 81 of the family's 2925-position model. The record is from RNAcentral. Lineage: Bacteria; Bacillati; Actinomycetota; Actinomycetes; Mycobacteriales; Mycobacteriaceae.
UCGUAAGUGUUUAAGGGCACAUGGUGGAUGCCUUGGCAUCGAGAGCCGAUGAAGGACGUGGGAGGCUGCGAUAAGCCUCGG